GGGUAUAGAAGUUUUCUAAACAAAGCAAUAAUUGUAGAUUUUUAUAUUUUUAUUUUUUUUUUCGAUAUCGAUCAUCUUUUAAUAAUAUCAUAUGAACAUACCCUACAAGACGGAGCUAACUCAUACACCACUACACAUGCAAUGUUUUUCAGCUUUUACCAACACAUACACAAUAAUAACUUUUUGUAGUUAAAUGGCUAUCUCGGUAGUUAGAGUGGCAACAUUCAUUAACCCUAAUUUUUGUAUGUAUGUAUAAGAGAGAGAUGCAUGUACUACAAUGAACCGUUCAAAAUAACCGCAAUGACCGCCAUUCAUAUGAAAUGGAAAUUUGAAGUGAGUGGAUGUAGGUUAGGCUAAGGUGUAGAUCUCCGCAAUUGCAGAAAUUCUCACUGAGACAAAUUCGACUGUCCAUUGUGACACCCGUGCUAAACAGUGUCUCCUAUGAUGGCCUUGAAUCUACACAAUGGAUAGUUAAAAUAAGCUGUCAUCGAUUGGAUAACUGCUAUAGACAAGGCAAUCGAACAAACUUUACAAAUUUUCAUACGAACUGGCAGCACUGAAAUCGAAUUGUCUAUACUUGGUCGCACUGAACUCUUUGACAGUUUGCUUACAAAACAAUUUAAUUUUCAAAGUUGAAAAAGACAGAAUCAUUUCAUGUUAUAAACGAAAAUGGAAAACAAUGAGUAUUUUAAUUUGGUUUCUCAGUAUUUACAAAAUGAAGAGGAGCUUAUGAUUGGGAAUGCUGGUAUACUAUCAUUUUGAGAUGAAAUGGCAUCUAGAUCCUGCUCGGAACCUUCAUCAAGCUCUGAGGAAUGGGAUAGGGAGGAAAUCAAUAAAUGCCAAAACUUUUGUGAAGUCAUUGAAGGCUAUGGCGAGAAUGAAUUCAAAUCGCACAUGCGAUUGCAGCGUUCGACCGUGGAAUUUUAAUAGGCGUGUAUUUAUGGACGUAUAUUUUCAUUUUAAUGGCUUUACAAAUUUAUUUUAAUAUUUUACAUUCAGAGGAAUAUACAAAUAGCAUUGAGCCCAAAACAAAUACUGGUGGAAGAGAAAUUGUACCACAUUGAAAAAAAAUUUAUAUUUAUAUUUCGUAUAUGAAUAACACCGUCACUUUCGGCAGCUUGCUAGUUUUUUUGGAAUGUCUUCUUCAACUGCUUGGACUAGGUAGCAUUUUAGUAGCCCCUUGGAUUCUACCAACAUCCAUGUUUUACGUUUUCUGCAACAAAUUUAAUUUUUAUUCAAGUUUUUUAUUCUAUAAAUUCAAUACAAAAAUGCUUACGAUUUAUCUUCUGCCUGCCAUUUUCAAUUACAAAUUUGUGUAUAACCAUUUUUAUUAUUUUGACAGUAAUUUGUCCUUUGAGCCAUUCACAAUAGUAAAAUGGUUCUAAAAUGUGUAAAACAAAACUUGGUAGCACUCAGCAAGCGACGAUAGAAUUUUUAAUGAGGUAUUCGCAUACUCUCCUGCACGAAUUCAACUAGAUAACUUUGUUGUUACUUUCACAUGUAAAAUUUUUGA
Molecule: long non-coding RNA, 1513 nt
Organism: Zeugodacus cucurbitae (melon fly)
Lineage: Eukaryota; Metazoa; Arthropoda; Insecta; Diptera; Tephritidae
Exons: 2
Source: RefSeq, a predicted model, not a curated record